This 84-nucleotide transfer RNA is filed under the name Streptomyces longisporoflavus. RNAcentral's name for it is "tRNA-Ala". Lineage: Bacteria; Bacillati; Actinomycetota; Actinomycetes; Kitasatosporales; Streptomycetaceae. The record is from RNAcentral.
GCCGAUGCCGGGCAGCGCGAGGAGCUGCGCGUGCUUGGCGGGUACGUCGCCGCCGUGCCGUUCCGUUAUGGCGACGGCGGCGCC